Molecule: ribosomal RNA, 462 nt
Filed under: uncultured bacterium
Lineage: Bacteria
Description: partial 16S ribosomal RNA
Rfam family: Bacterial small subunit ribosomal RNA
Source: RNAcentral
GAUGAACGCUGACAGAAUGCUUAACACAUGCAAGUCAUUCGCGAAGCCGCGCUUGUGCAGUCUAGCCAAGGCGGACGGGUGAGUAACGCGUCAGGAACUUGCCCUGCAGACAGGGAUAACAGACGGAAACGACUGCUAACACUAGGUAUUGUCAGGCUGUCGCACGCCGGGCUGAUGAAAGAAGACGCUUCAGGAGAGCCUUGCGUGCUGUUAGCUAGUGGGUGGGGUAACGGGUCACCUAGGCGGUGAGAGGUAGCCGGCCUGAGUGGGUGAACGGCCACAAGGGGACUGAGAUGCGGCAGUUACUCCUACGGGGGACAGGAGUGGAGAAUAGUGGACAAUGGGGGCGACCGUGAUCCAGCAAUUCUGUGUGCAAGAAGAAGGUUUUCGGAUUGAAAAGUGGUGUCAGCAGGGGAGAAGAAAGUGACGGUACCUGCAGAAGAAGCAACGGCUAAAUACGUG